UGAAGACUUAUGUUUGCAGAUAUUCUUCAUCGGUGACAGAUGAUGAGGGAGUUGACCGCAACAAUAAAAAAUCAUAACAAAAUUAUAGCACGUUGAAAAAACUAGUCUCCAUUGGUUGCAGUAACAUGGAUAGAUCAUUUAUUACCAAAAAAAAAAGGAUGGAUCGUUGCUACCGAUUACCUGCUAAUGAUCACCGGCCAAAUGUGGCAGUUGGGAAUUGAUGCC
This 225-nucleotide long non-coding RNA is filed under the name Elaeis guineensis (African oil palm). Its description in RNAcentral is "long non-coding RNA (EGUI_LNC007177)". The record is from RNAcentral. Lineage: Eukaryota; Viridiplantae; Streptophyta; Magnoliopsida; Arecales; Arecaceae.